RNAcentral lists this unclassified non-coding RNA (215 nucleotides) under plant metagenome. RNAcentral describes it as "partial contains small subunit ribosomal RNA, internal transcribed spacer 1, and 5.8S ribosomal RNA". The record is from RNAcentral.
UUUCCGUAGGUGAACCAGCGGAGGGAUCAUUACUGAGUUUACAACUCCCAACCCAUGUGAACAUACCUUUUGUUGCUUCGGCGGGAUGCCCCCGGCGCCUAGUGUGCCCGGGAAUCAGGCCCCCGCCGGAGGACCCAAACUCUUGUUUUUCUAUAGAACUUCUGAGUGGAUUAUUUUAAUAAUUAAAACUUUCAACAACGGAUCUCUUGGUUCUG